Molecule: ribosomal RNA, 51 nt
Filed under: Oidiodendron maius
Lineage: Eukaryota; Fungi; Ascomycota; Leotiomycetes; Myxotrichaceae
Description: partial 28S ribosomal RNA
Source: RNAcentral
GGUUGACCUCGGAUCAGGUAGGGAUACCCGCUGAACUUAAGCAUAUCAAAA